UGUCAAGGAGGUGCCGAAUGAUGAAUAUAUUCAAAUACCGAGACAUGUUCUAAAACGUGUUUUGGCAGGUUGAUCCUGAUCGUCCUUAUUUCUAAUUUCUAAACCCGAAACGUUCUUUAUUAUUGGCGGGUUCUCUAUAAUCCCAUGUUUGUGAAGUCAAUUGCUUAAUUUGAUUGAGAGUCAUUAUGAUUCGGAAGUGCCUGGUAGCUUGUGACAUAAUUGAUGUAGUUUAUCAGUCAUGCAAUUUGUUGUUAGCAGCAUGUACCAGAUUUCUGGUAAUUCCCAUUUCAACAUUGUUUUUGUUUUCAGACAUCCUGGAUCUACUAAGAUACUUCGGAGAGAUGUCCCAGAUUUAUUCUUUUGAAUUUCACUAAUUUCUUUCCAUGGCUUCAGAUUCACCAGUGAUGGGGCUGCCGCCAACUUGGGCCUGCUCAAGAACAGCGACUCUACAGGAGGGGGAUGGAGUUUCGGAAGCUCCUGUGCUAUUGGGAGCGACAGUUCCACAAUGAGAUGGUCUUUCAUCACCUCUGAGUUGGAGGAUGUCCAAGGCCGGGAUCGUUCAUCACCACUGAGCUGCGGCUGAGAUAAUACUGUUGCUCAGUCCAGAUCUGGAUAUCUCAUCUCUGAACAUUUGAAAUGCCGAGUACUCCAUGAAAGCUUGCCUAGCCGCUUUCGUGCAACAUUAUAUCUUUGGACGUUUGCACUUCCGCGGCUCUAGACAUGAGCUUCCUUAUAUGGUAAGAAAAUGCUGGUCGAGAGCUCCAUUCAGCUUCCGGUAAUAAAUAAUCUCCCAUAUUUAUUAAAUUUGCUUGCUUUGGCAUGUUACUUUAUCUAUAUUUGAAAUAGGAUACUAUUUGAUAUUUAAUUUUAGGAAAAUAGUUGGUUUUCAAUCUAUUUGCUUUCUAUCCCGAAACUAUUAAAGUUGAGAAACUGGGAUUCAGAAGAUCCAAAACUGCCUGAUACAAUGGCUACUCUAAUCAAUAAAAUGAGUUACAUAUAUACUUACUAAUUUUUCUCUAUAUAUAUAUAUCUAUUCAUAAAAUAUGUUGAUUAGGCUACUUAUAUGCAUUGGAAAACCAUUAGAAUCCUUGCU
Triticum aestivum (bread wheat) is the source of this 1093-nucleotide long non-coding RNA. RefSeq lists it as uncharacterized. Lineage: Eukaryota; Viridiplantae; Streptophyta; Magnoliopsida; Poales; Poaceae. The transcript is spliced from 3 exons. The record is from RefSeq and is a predicted model, not a curated record.